Molecule: ribosomal RNA, 253 nt
Filed under: uncultured bacterium
Lineage: Bacteria
Description: partial 16S ribosomal RNA
Rfam family: Bacterial small subunit ribosomal RNA
Source: RNAcentral
UACGAAGGGGGCUAGCGUUGCUCGGAAUGACUGGGCGUAAAGGGCGCGUAGGCGGUUCGUACAGUCGGGUGUGAAAUUCCUGGGCUUAACCUGGGGACUGCAUUCGCUACGUGCGGGCUUGAGUGUGGAAGAGGGUUGUGGAAUUCCCAGUGUAGAGGUGAAAUUCGUAGAUAUUGGGAAGAACACCGGUGGCGAAGGCGGCAACCUGGUCCAUGACUGACGCUGAUGCGCGAAAGCGUGGGGAGCAAACAGG